Molecule: ribosomal RNA, 303 nt
Filed under: uncultured bacterium
Lineage: Bacteria
Description: partial 16S ribosomal RNA
Rfam family: Bacterial small subunit ribosomal RNA
Source: RNAcentral
AGCAGUCGCCACGGUAAUACGUAGGUGGCAAGCGUUGUCCGGAAUUAUUGGGCGUAGAGGGCUCGCAGGCGGUUUCUUAAGUCUGAUGUGAAAGCCCCCGGCUCAACCGGGGAGGGUCAUUGGAAACCGGGAAACUUGAGUGCAGAAGAGGAGAGUGGAAUUCCACGUGUAGCGGUGAAAUGCGUAGAGAUGUGGAGGAACACCAGUGGCGAAGGCGACUCUCUGGUCUGUAACUGACGCUGAGGCGCGAAAGCGUGGGGAGCAAACAGGAUUAGAUACCCCCGUAGUCCCUGUCUCUUAUAC